UAUCCAAAAUGGGUUUUUCCAAGUGCUCAAUCUUUGCUAUUCUCUUCAUUGCUAUAUCAUUUUCAAGCAUGGAUGUUAACGUAGCAGCUCGUCAUCUUCUGCAAUUGCCUCCAUUGCCUUCUGUGCCAAAUUUGCCAAAAACUACAUUGCCACCAUUGCCUAACAAAAUCCCAACUCUGCCUCAGCCCACAUUGCCAACCACACAACCUUCUUUCCCUAACCCAACUACACUGCCUCCACUUCCUAGCUUGCCUACUGUUCCUAAGGUCACUUUGCCUCCAUUACCAAGCAUGCCCUCGUUUCCUACUAUUCCAAG
Molecule: long non-coding RNA, 316 nt
Filed under: Jatropha curcas
Lineage: Eukaryota; Viridiplantae; Streptophyta; Magnoliopsida; Malpighiales; Euphorbiaceae
Description: long non-coding RNA (JCUR_LNC003541)
Source: RNAcentral